This 279-nucleotide ribosomal RNA is filed under the name Clostridioides difficile. RNAcentral's name for it is "partial 23S ribosomal RNA". It matches the Rfam family "Bacterial large subunit ribosomal RNA", at positions 358 to 640 of the family's 2925-position model. The record is from RNAcentral. Lineage: Bacteria; Bacillati; Bacillota; Clostridia; Peptostreptococcales; Peptostreptococcaceae.
CAGAAGGUAAUAGUCCUGUAUGUUAAACGAGAAGACUUUAGAUAUGAUCCAGAGUACCACGGGACACGUGAAACCCUGUGGGAAGCAGGAGGGACCACCCUCCAAGGCUAAAUACUACCUAGUGACCGAUAGCGUAUAGUACCGUGAGGGAAAGGUGAAAAGAACCCCGGGAGGGGAGUGAAAUAGAACCUGAAACCCUGCACUUACAAGCUGUGGAAGCACAUUUCUUGUGUGACCGCGUACUUUUUGUAGAACGGGCCAACGAGUUACGUUAAGUAG